Molecule: ribosomal RNA, 525 nt
Filed under: uncultured Hanseniaspora
Lineage: Eukaryota; Fungi; Ascomycota; Saccharomycetes; Saccharomycodales; Saccharomycodaceae
Description: eukaryotic LSU rRNA
Rfam family: Eukaryotic large subunit ribosomal RNA
Source: RNAcentral
AACCAACUGGGAUUAUCUUAGUAACGGCGAGUGAAGCGGUAAAAGCCCAAAUUUGAAAUCUGGUACUUUCAGUGCCCGAGUUGUAAUUUGUAGAAUUUGUCUUUGAUUAGGUCCUUGUCUAUGUUCCUUGGAACAGGACGUCAUAGAGGGUGAGAAUCCCGUUUGGCGAGGAUACCUUUUCUCUGUAAGACUUUUUCGAAGAGUCGAGUUGUUUGGGAAUGCAGCUCAAAGUGGGUGGUAAAUUCCAUCUAAAGCUAAAUAUUGGCGAGAGACCGAUAGCGAACAAGUACAGUGAUGGAAAGAUGAAAAGAACUUUGAAAAGAGAGUGAAAAAAGUACGUGAAAUUGUUGAAAGGGAAGGGCAUUUGAUCAGACAUGGUGUUUUUUGCAUGCACUCGCCUCUCGUGGGCUUGGGCCUCUCAAAAAUUUCACUGGGCCAACAUCAAUUCUGGCAGCAGGAUAAAUCAUUAAGAAUGUAGCUACUUCGGUAGUGUUAUAGCUUUUUGGAAUACUGUUAGCCGGGAUU